GAUGAACGCUGGCGGCGUGCCUAAUACAUGCAAGUCGAGCGAACAGACGAGGAGCUUGCUCCUCUGACGUUAGCGGCGGACGGGUGAGUAACACGUGGAUAACCGACCUAUAAGACUGGGAUAACUUCGGGAAACCUGAUCUAAUACCGGAUAAUAUAUUGAACCGCAUGGUUCAAUAGUGAAAGCCGGUUUUGCUGUCACUUAUAGAUGGUUCCGCGCCGCAUUAGCUAGUUGGUAAGGUAACGGCUUACCAAGGCAACGAUGCGUAGCCGACCUGAGAGGAUGAUCAGCCGCACUGGAACUGAGACACGGUCCAGACUCCUACGGGAGGCAGCAGUGGGGAAUCUUCCGCAAUGGGCGAAAGCCUGACGGAGCAACGCCGCGUGAGUGAUGAAGGUCUUCGGAUCGUAAAACUCUGUUAUUAGGGAAGAACAACUGUGUAAGUAACUAUGCACGUCUUGACGGUACCUAAUCAGAAAGCCACGGCUAACUACGUG
Molecule: ribosomal RNA, 497 nt
Filed under: uncultured bacterium
Lineage: Bacteria
Description: partial 16S ribosomal RNA
Rfam family: Bacterial small subunit ribosomal RNA
Source: RNAcentral